CACACUAUCAUUAACUGAAUCCAUAGGUUAAUGAGGCGAACCGGGGGAACUGAAACAUCUAAGUACCCCGAGGAAAAGAAAUCAACCGAGAUUCCCCCAGUAGCGGCGAGCGAACGGGGAGGAGCCCAGAGCCUGAAUCAGUGUGUGUGUUAGUGGAAGCGUCUGGAAAGGCGCGCGAUACAGGGUGACAGCCCCGUACACAAAAAUGCACAUGCUGUGAGCUCGAUGAGUAGGGCGGGACACGUGGUAUCCUGUCUGAAUAUGGGGGGACCAUCCUCCAAGGCUAAAUACUCCUGACUGACCGAUAGUGAACCAGUACCGUGAGGGAAAGGCGAAAAGAACCCCGGCGAGGGGAGUGAAAAAGAACCUGAAACCGUGUACGUACAAGCAGUGGGAGCCUCUUAAUGGGGUGACUGCGUACCUUUUGUAUAAUGGGUCAGCGACUUAUAUUCUGUAGCAAGGUUAACCGAAUAGGGGAGCCGAAGGGAAACCGAGUCUUAACUGGGCGUUAAGUUGCAGGGUAUAGACCCGAAACCCGGUGAUCUAGCCAUGGGCAGGUUGAAGGUUGGGUAACACUAACUGGAGGACCGAACCGACUAAUGUUGAAAAAUUAGCGGAUGACUUGUGGCUGGGGGUGAAAGGCCAAUCAAACCGGGAGAUAGCUGGUUCUCCCCGAAAGCUAUUUAGGUAGCGCCUCGUGAAUUCAUCUCCGGGGGUAGAGCACUGUUUCGGCAAGGGGGUCAUCCCGACUUACCAACCCGAUGCAAACUGCGAAUACCGGAGAAUGUUAUCACGGGAGACACACGGCGGGUGCUAACGUCCGUCGUGAAGAGGGAAACAACCCAGACCGCCAGCUAAGGUCCCAAAGUCAUGGUUAAGUGGGAAACGAUGUGGGAAGGCCCAGACAGCCAGGAUGUUGGCUUAGAAGCAGCCAUCAUUUAAAGAAAGCGUAAUAGCUCACUGGUCGAGUCGGCCUGCGCGGAAGAUGUAACGGGGCUAAACCAUGCACCGAAGCUGCGGCAGCGACACUAUGUGUUGUUGGGUAGGGGAGCGUUCUGUAAGCCUGUGAAGGUGGCCUGUGAGGGUUGCUGGAGGUAUCAGAAGUGCGAAUGCUGACAUAAGUAACGAUAAAGCGGGUGAAAAGCCCGCUCGCCGGAAGACCAAGGGUUCCUGUCCAACGUUAAUCGGGGCAGGGUGAGUCGACCCCUAAGGCGAGGCCGAAAGGCGUAGUCGAUGGGAAACAGGUUAAUAUUCCUGUACUUGGUGUUACUGCGAAGGGGGGACGGAGAAGGCUAUGUUGGCCGGGCGACGGUUGUCCCGGUUUAAGCGUGUAGGCUGGUUUUCCAGGCAAAUCCGGAAAACCAAGGCUGAGGCGUGAUGACGAGGCACUACGGUGCUGAAGCGACAAAUGCCCUGCUUCCAGGAAAAGCCUCUAAGCAUCAGGUAACAUCAAAUCGUACCCCAAACCGACACAGGUGGUCAGGUAGAGAAUACCAAGGCGCUUGAGAGAACUCGGGUGAAGGAACUAGGCAAAAUGGUGCCGUAACUUCGGGAGAAGGCACGCUGAUAUGUAGGUGAAGCGACUUGCUCGUGGAGCUGAAAUCAGUCGAAGAUACCAGCUGGCUGCAACUGUUUAUUAAAAACACAGCACUGUGCAAACACGAAAGUGGACGUAUACGGUGUGACGCCUGCCCGGUGCCGGAAGGUUAAUUGAUGGGGUUAGCGGUAACGCGAAGCUCUUGAUCGAAGCCCCGGUAAACGGCGGCCGUAACUAUAACGGUCCUAAGGUAGCGAAAUUCCUUGUCGGGUAAGUUCCGACCUGCACGAAUGGCGUAAUGAUGGCCAGGCUGUCUCCACCCGAGACUCAGUGAAAUUGAACUCGCUGUGAAGAUGCAGUGUACCCGCGGCAAGACGGAAAGACCCCGUGAACCUUUACUAUAGCUUGACACUGAACAUUGAGCCUUGAUGUGUAGGAUAGGUGGGAGGCUUUGAAGUGUGGACGCCAGUCUGCAUGGAGCCGACCUUGAAAUACCACCCUUUAAUGUUUGAUGUUCUAACGUUGGCCCCUAAUCGGGGUUGCGGACAGUGUCUGGUGGGUAGUUUGACUGGGGCGGUCUCCUCCUAAAGAGUAACGGAGGAGCACGAAGGUUGGCUAAUCCUGGUCGGACAUCAGGAGGUUAGUGCAAUGGCAUAAGCCAGCUUGACUGCGAGCGUGACGGCGCGAGCAGGUGCGAAAGCAGGUCAUAGUGAUCCGGUGGUUCUGAAUGGAAGGGCCAUCGCUCAACGGAUAAAAGGUACUCCGGGGAUAACAGGCUGAUACCGCCCAAGAGUUCAUAUCGACGGCGGUGUUUGGCACCUCGAUGUCGGCUCAUCACAUCCUGGGGCUGAAGUAGGUCCCAAGGGUAUGGCUGUUCGCCAUUUAAAGUGGUACGCGAGCUGGGUUUAGAACGUCGUGAGACAGUUCGGUCCCUAUCUGCCGUGGGCGCUGGAGAACUGAGGGGGGCUGCUCCUAGUACGAGAGGACCGGAGUGGACGCAUCACUGGUGUUCGGGUUGUCAUGCCAAUGGCACUGCCCGGUAGCUAAAUGCGGAAGAGAUAAGUGCUGAAAGCAUCUAAGCACGAAACUUGCCCCGAGAUGAGUUCUCCCUGAGACUUAGAGUCUCCUGAAGGAACGUUGAAGACGACGACGUUGAUAGGCCGGGUGUGUAAGCGCAGCGAUGCGUUGAGCUAACCGGUACUAAUGAACCGUGAGGCUUAACCUUACAACGCCGAAG
This 2774-nucleotide ribosomal RNA is filed under the name Escherichia coli. Its description in RNAcentral is "bacterial LSU rRNA". It matches the Rfam family "Bacterial large subunit ribosomal RNA". The record is from RNAcentral. Lineage: Bacteria; Pseudomonadati; Pseudomonadota; Gammaproteobacteria; Enterobacterales; Enterobacteriaceae.